CUGUUGGGACUGGUCAGAGCAGUAACACUGUCCUUGAUUUGCCGGUUCGUGGGGAAUCCAGAAUACUGAGCAGAUGACUGAAGAUGAAGGGAUCAUAAAGCAGAUCAGGUAAGCUGAUGCAAGAAGUAACAAGAAGACCAGACACAGGUAGUGAUGGGAAGGUGGCUUUAUACUGUGGUUGAUUAGUGUAGACAGGUGAGGAGAAUCAGAACUCUGGU
Molecule: long non-coding RNA, 218 nt
Organism: Sinocyclocheilus grahami
Lineage: Eukaryota; Metazoa; Chordata; Actinopteri; Cypriniformes; Cyprinidae
Exons: 3
Source: RefSeq, a predicted model, not a curated record